Molecule: transfer RNA, 72 nt
Organism: Puccinia sorghi
Lineage: Eukaryota; Fungi; Basidiomycota; Pucciniomycetes; Pucciniales; Pucciniaceae
Rfam family: tRNA
About the family: Transfer RNA (tRNA) molecules are approximately 80 nucleotides in length. Their secondary structure includes four short double-helical elements and three loops (D, anti-codon, and T loops).
Source: Rfam
GUGUACUUAGAUCAAUGGUUAGAGCAUCACUCAUGAAUGCUGAGGUUGUUGGUUCAAGUCCCACAAUACACA